Molecule: ribosomal RNA, 255 nt
Filed under: uncultured bacterium
Lineage: Bacteria
Description: partial 16S ribosomal RNA
Rfam family: Bacterial small subunit ribosomal RNA
Source: RNAcentral
UACGAAGGGGGCUAGCGUUGCUCGGAAUCACUGGGCGUAAAGCGCACGUAGGCGGCUUUUUAAGUCAGGGGUGAAAUCCUGGAGCUCAACUCCAGAACUGCCUUUGAUACUGAGAAGCUUGAGUCCGGGAGAGGUGAGUGGAACUGCGAGUGUAGAGGUGAAAUUCGUAGAUAUUCGCAAGAACACCAGUGGCGAAGGCGGCCAACUGGUCCGGAACUGACGCUGAGGAGCGAAAGCGUGGGGAGCCGAACGAGG